Molecule: ribosomal RNA, 740 nt
Filed under: Amplirhagada sinenomine
Lineage: Eukaryota; Metazoa; Mollusca; Gastropoda; Stylommatophora; Camaenidae
Description: partial 16S ribosomal RNA
Source: RNAcentral
CACGAAACCAGGCGAGCUACUGUCAGCGUAUUAUAGUACAAAGUAUGUAGCAUAAUAGUAGUAGACCUUGCAGUAGGAGUGAGAGACUUUCAAGUCUGGUGAUAUCUUGUUAACUUCGAGAUGUAUUUAGUACAGUGCCAGUUUAUUAGUGAUAAGGCUGAUAAAAAAUAUGUAACUCGGUUACCUAUACUGACAUAGUUUAAUCGCUGGUUUUCUUUUAAAUUCAAUAUUAUUGUCCGUUAGUAGUAGAAAUUAGAAGUUAGUACUUAAUCAUAACAGAUACUUAUACUGUAAGUAUUAGUAGUUAAGGUAUUACUGAUGAAUUCGGCAACAUUUCUUUCACCUGUUUAUCAAAAACAUGGCCAAUAGGAAGUAUUACUGGUCGAUUCUGCUCCAUGUAAUAAUAAAUAGCCGCAGUACCCUGACUGUGCAAAGGUAGCAUAAUCACUUGGCUUAUAAUUGAAGUCUGGCAUGAAAGAACGCAUGGGGGAAAGCUCUAUUGGUGGUAUGGCGUGAAAUUACUUAGUAGGUGCAAAUACCUAUUGUUAAAUAAAAGACGAGAAGACCCUAGAAAUUUUGACAAUUAUGAUAAUUUAUGUUUUUGUUGGGGCAACAUGGUAGCAUUCAACCUACAUUAAUGACAUGACAUAAUAUAGUUAGAUUAAAUUACUCUAGGGAUAACAGCGUAAUUUUACAAAGUUUGCGACCUCGAUGUUGGACUAGGAAGCAGAUACUUAGAA